RNAcentral lists this transfer RNA (75 nucleotides) under Planctomycetota bacterium. RNAcentral's name for it is "tRNA-Gly". It matches the Rfam family "tRNA". Rfam says of the family: Transfer RNA (tRNA) molecules are approximately 80 nucleotides in length. Their secondary structure includes four short double-helical elements and three loops (D, anti-codon, and T loops). Further hydrogen bonds mediate the characteristic L-shaped molecular structure. tRNAs have two regions of fundamental functional importance: the anti-codon, which is responsible for specific mRNA codon recognition, and the 3' end, to which the tRNAs corresponding amino acid is attached (by aminoacyl-tRNA synthetases). tRNAs cope with the degeneracy of the genetic code in two manners: having more than one tRNA (with a specific anti-codon) for a particular amino acid; and 'wobble' base-pairing, i.e. permitting non-standard base-pairing at the 3rd anti-codon position. RNAcentral also lists the same sequence under 2 other names. The record is from RNAcentral. Lineage: Bacteria; Pseudomonadati; Planctomycetota.
GCGGGUGUAGCUCAGUGGUAGAGCGCCACCUUGCCAAGGUGGAAGUCGACGGUUCGAGCCCGUUCACCCGCUCCA